RNAcentral lists this ribosomal RNA (468 nucleotides) under uncultured bacterium. RNAcentral describes it as "partial 16S ribosomal RNA". It matches the Rfam family "Bacterial small subunit ribosomal RNA", at positions 28 to 507 of the family's 1533-position model. The record is from RNAcentral.
GACGAACGCUGGCGGCGUGCUUAACACAUGCAAGUCGAACGGAAAGGCCCUGCUUUUGUGGGGUGCUCGAGUGGCGAACGGGUGAGUAACACGUGAGUAACCUGCCCUUGACUUUGGGGUAACUUCAGGAAACUGGGGCUAAUACCGGAUAGGAGGUCCUGCUGCAUGGUGGGGGUUGGAAAGUUUCGGCGGUUGGGGAUGGACUCGCGGCUUAUCAGCUUGUUGGUGGGGUAGUGGCUUACCAAGGCUUUGACGGGUAGCCGGCCUGAGAGGGUGACCGGCCACAUUGGGACUGAGAUACGGCCCAGACUCCUACGGGAGGCAGCAGUGGGGAAUAUUGCACAAUGGGCGGAAGCCUGAUGCAGCAACGCCGCGUGCGGGAUGACGGCCUUCGGGUUGUAAACCGCUUUCGCCUGUGACGAAGCGUGAGUGACGGUAAUGGGUAAAGAAGCACCGGCUAACUACGUG